CUCGACCGCUGGCGGCAGGCCUAACACAUGCAAGUCGAGCGGAGCGGCGGACGUGUGAGUAAUGCCUAGGAAUCUGCCUGGUAGUGGGGGACAACGUCCGGAAACGGGCGCUAAUACCGCAUACUAGCAGUGUAGCCUAGGGCGGAUUAGAUAGUUGGUGGGGUAAAGGCCUCCCAAGGCGACGAUCCGUAACUGGUCGGAGAGGAUGAUCAGUCACACUGGAAGUGGGACACGGGCCAGAGUCCUGCGGGAGGCAGCAUUGGGGAAUAUUGGACAAUGGGCGAAAGUCUGAUCCAGCGAUGCCGCGUGUGUGAAGAAGGUUUUCGGAUGGUAAAGCACUUUAAGUUGGGAGGCGUUACCAACAGAAUAAGCAACGGCUAACUUCGUGCCAGCCGCCGCGGUAAUAC
Molecule: ribosomal RNA, 407 nt
Filed under: uncultured bacterium
Lineage: Bacteria
Description: partial 16S ribosomal RNA
Rfam family: Bacterial small subunit ribosomal RNA
Source: RNAcentral